CCCUAUGUUGUAAAACCACGUUGCCUCGGGGGUGACCCGGCCUCGGUCGGCGCCCCCGGUGGACCACUCAACUCUGCAUCUGAGCGUCUGAGUCAAUUUGUUAAUCAAAUUAAAACUUUCAACAACGGAUCUCCUGGUUCUGGCAUCGAUGAAGAACGCAGCGAAAUGCGAUAAGUAAUGUGAAUUGCAGAAUUCAGUGAAUCAUCGAACCUUUGAACGCACAUUGCGCCCUUUGGUAUUCCUUAGGGCACACCUGUUCGAGCGUCAUUACACCACUCAAGCCUAGCUUGGUAUUGGGCGUCGCGGUUCCGCGCGCCUUAAAGUCUCCGGCUGAGCAGUUCGUCUCUAAGCGUUGUGGCAUAUAUUUCGCUGAAGAGUUCGGACGGCUUUUGGCCGUUAAAUCUUUUACAAGGUUGACCUCGGAUCAGGUGGG
RNAcentral lists this ribosomal RNA (433 nucleotides) under Teratosphaeriaceae sp. NY025. Its description in RNAcentral is "eukaryotic LSU rRNA". The stretch from base 114 to 267 matches the Rfam family "5.8S ribosomal RNA". Lineage: Eukaryota; Fungi; Ascomycota; Dothideomycetes; Mycosphaerellales; Teratosphaeriaceae. The record is from RNAcentral.